Molecule: ribosomal RNA, 508 nt
Filed under: uncultured bacterium
Lineage: Bacteria
Description: partial 16S ribosomal RNA
Rfam family: Bacterial small subunit ribosomal RNA
Source: RNAcentral
GACGAACGCUGGCGGCGUGCCUAAUACAUGCAAGUCGAACGCUUCUUUCCUCCCGAGUGCUUGCACUCAAUUGGAAAGAGGAGUGGCGGACGGGUGAGUAACACGUGGGUAACCUACCCAUCAGAGGGGGAUAACACUUGGAAACAGGUGCUAAUACCGCAUAACAGUUUAUGCCGCAUGGCAUAAGAGUGAAAGGCGCUUUCGGGUGUCGUUGAUGGAUGGACCCGCGGUGCAUUAGCUAGUUGGUGAGGUAACGGCUCACCAAGGCCACGAUGCAUAGCCGACCUGAGAGGGUGAUCGGCCACACUGGGACUGAGACACGGCCCAGACUCCUACGGGAGGCAGCAGUAGGGAAUCUUCGGCAAUGGACGAAAGUCUGACCGAGCAACGCCGCGUGAGUGAAGAAGGUUUUCGGAUCGUAAAACUCUGUUGUUAGAGAAGACCAAGGACGUUAGUAACUGAACGUCCCCUGACGGUAUCUAACCAGAAAGCCACGGCUAACUACGUG